Molecule: ribosomal RNA, 371 nt
Filed under: uncultured organism
Description: bacterial SSU rRNA
Rfam family: Bacterial small subunit ribosomal RNA
Source: RNAcentral
CAGAGGGGGCGAGCGUUGUUCGGAAUUACUGGGCGUAAAGGGCGCGUAGGCGGCCUUCUAAGUCGAACGUGAAAUCCCCGGGCUCAACCCGGGAACUGCGUCCGAUACUGGAGGCUUGAAUCCGGGAGAGGGAUGUGGAAUUCCAGGUGUAGCGGUGAAAUGCGUAGAUAUCUGGAGGAACACCGGUGGCGAAGGCGGCAUCCUGGACCGGUAUUGACGCUGAGGCGCGAAAGCCAGGGGAGCAAACGGGAUUAGAUACCCCGGUAGUCCUGGCCCUAAACGAUGAAUGCUUGGUGUGGCGGGUAUCGAUCCCUGCCGUGCCGAAGCUAACGCAUUAAGCAUUCCGCCUGGGGAGUACGGUCGCAAGGCUG